Molecule: long non-coding RNA, 1533 nt
Organism: Globicephala melas (long-finned pilot whale)
Lineage: Eukaryota; Metazoa; Chordata; Mammalia; Artiodactyla; Delphinidae
Source: RefSeq, a predicted model, not a curated record
GCACUCUAGAGCCCACGAGCCACAACUACUGAAGCCCCCGUGCCUAGGGCCCGUGCUCUGCAACAAGAGAAGCCACUGCAAUGAGAAGCCUGUGCACCGCAACAAAGAGUAGCCCCUGCUCGCCGCAACUAGAGAAAGCCCGCGCGCAGCAACAAAGACCCAAUGCAGCCAAAAAUAAUAAAAACAAAUAAAAUAAAGGAAACUUAGAUUUUAAAAUAAUAAUAAAAUAAAAAUGGACAAGGAAAGCAGAACGAGUGGCUCAGAGAGAAGUAAGGAUGGGAGAAGGGGCAGGAGAGAUUUGAAGCGGGAUACUCACCCACUAUUGCUGGCGUCGAAGAUGGAGGAACGGAACCACGACCCAAACAACGCAGGCAGCUUCCAGAAGCUGGGAAGGACCCUCAGCUGACAGCCAUCAAGGAAAUGGGGGCCUGAAAGGAACUAAAUUCUACCAACAGCCUGAGAUAGUGAGGAAAUGGAUUCUCGCCUAAGAGCUCCCAGGACGGACACAGCCGACCCCGUGAUUUUAGUCCAGUUAGAUCUGAACCCGGCUUCCGACAUACAGAACCAUAAGGUAUCUAUCCUCCAGAAAUAAAUGUAUCUAAAUUCUAAGGAUAUACAUACAGAGAUGUUUUCUGCUUUGGAAGACCUGAAAAUAACCAUCCGUAACACUAUGAAAAACAUCGUUCUGUGUGUCAUCAUCCCAGAUCACAAAGUCGUUUGGGAAGGAUUAUGGUUUUUCCAUUGUUCUUUUGCUUCAGAAGCUAAGGAUCCUUCCCUCCCGCCAUCUGAUUGACACAGAGGGAGACCUGGAGUCCUCGGCUACACACCUGGACCCUCACUCCAGCUGUGCUCCAGGACUCAAAUCCAGGCCCUUUUACACCAGACCUACUCAACAAUCAAACCACGUGGUUAGUGUUCAUGACCCUUCCUGCCUUGAGUCCCAAGACAUCAGAGGACAACUCCUAACAGGUCCACUGAUGACCAAUGACUUGCAAAGCUCUGCCUCUGUCUUUCAGUCUCCAAAGAGAGGCUCUUCAGGUCUGUAUUUCCCAAAUCCACCUUCAUAGAUCCCUUUUCAAAUGAAAAGUCUUCACCAUCAUUUGGGGUUGAAACCUGUUGAGUUUUUGUACAAGGACUGAAAAAGAUAAAGAACGACAGCAAAAAAAAAAAAGAAUUCUUGUUCUGAAAACAGUGGAACUUUGCCUAUAUUCAUUCUUCUUUCUUCCCCUCUGAACAUUUUUUGGGGAGCUCUAUAAAUUUAUAAACAAUAGAAGGAAGGAUGUGGAGUAUAGAGUCAGAAAACCCUGACUGUAAUCCCAGCUCUUCCAGUUAACAGCUGUGUGACCUCUGACAAAUCACUUCACCUCUCUGAGCCUUUAUUUCCUCAUCAGUAAAAUGGAGCUGAUAAUGGAUGCAAAGCCUAAACCCAUCCCGGAGCACAUGCACAAUAUAUUGUUUUUAACAUUAUUUCAGAGAAGUUUGCUGAUAUACCUUCACGGCCGCAGAACAAGCUGGUGGCUGAGCAAGAAGACA